Long non-coding RNA from Bos taurus (domestic cattle), 919 nucleotides. Lineage: Eukaryota; Metazoa; Chordata; Mammalia; Artiodactyla; Bovidae. The record is from Ensembl.
GGCAGAAGGUUCCGAUGGAAGAAAAGAAAAAAGCUGAUGCUUUCUUCAAACUGAUAGGGAUUAUAGGUGGAAGGCAGGUGGGCCCGCGUAGGGAGGCCAAAGAGCUAAUAGAAAGAAUAGUAAGCCCUGCAGAAGUCUCCAAAAGAAAGGCUGCCUAUAUCAGGGCAAGCUCUUUUAAAAAAUUAUUUGGAAAAUAAAAUUUUAUAUUUCAUGAGGUCUGUCUUCAUGAUACAGACCAUUCCUAAAUAUCAGAAAGUCCUGUUGAAUCAACUGAAAGACAUUAUUUGCAUUGAAAUGUGAUCAUGGCUUUGCUAUCACCAUCUUGAUGUUUUACAUCUUUGUGAACUCAGGAAAAUUUUGAGAUGACUAAAGAAUGUGACCAACAGAACGGUCCUCCUUGUGCGUGUGGAGCCAAACCCCAGGCUGCAGAGCUCCUGAGCCGUCUGCCAGUCACCACUUUCAGACCCCACUGAGCAGAAGAGUCUUAAGCCCGCAUCAGAAUCACCUGGAAGACCUAUUAAAACACAGCUUACUGGGCCCCUCCCGGAGAGUUUCCAGGUCAGGAAGUCAGGGGUGGGGCCCGAAGAUCAGCAUUUCUUACAAGUCCCCAAGAACCUGACCCUGCUGGUCCAGACCACAUGCUGAGCACUUCUCUAGUGGAUGAAUGACUGAGCAUCUGAUUUUCCGUCUUCCUUCUUUUUUCUCCAGAAGAAUAGAAAAGAAGUUUAUACAUUAGAUAGUAGAUUAAAACUGGCCCUAAUAACUUGACUCCUUCCCCCACCUCCUUGGAGCAGUUUCUCAGCUGCUCGCAAUGUUGUCUCCCAGACUUGAAGAGCUAAGAAUUCCCACCAAAUAAAAUAGCUCUCUACUUUCAGAUUCUGAGUAUAUUUUUUAAGUUCACAGUGGGAUGAAUUGGAAG